This 520-nucleotide ribosomal RNA is filed under the name uncultured Glomus. RNAcentral describes it as "SSU rRNA". It matches the Rfam family "Eukaryotic small subunit ribosomal RNA", at positions 569 to 1096 of the family's 1831-position model. The record is from RNAcentral. Lineage: Eukaryota; Fungi; Glomeromycota; Glomeromycetes; Glomerales; Glomeraceae.
AGCAGCCGCGGUAAUUCCAGCUCCAAUAGCGUAUAUUAAAGUUGUUGCAGUUAAAAGCUCGUAGUUGAAUUUCGGGAUCAAUACGUCGGUCGUGCUUCGGUACGUACUGGCGUAAUUGAUUUCUCCCUUCUGACGAACCAUGAUGUCAUUAACUUGGUGUCAUGGGAAAUCAGGACUGUUACUUUGAAAAAAUUAGAGUGUUUAAAGCAGGCUCACGCUUGAAUACAUUAGCAUGGAAUAAUGAAAUAGGACGUUCGAUCCUAUUUUGUUGGUUUUUAGGAUCAACGUAAUGAUUAAUAGGGAUAGUUGGGGGCAUUAGUAUUCAAUUGUCAGAGGUGAAAUUCUUGGAUUUAUUGAAGACUAACUACUGCGAAAGCAUUUGCCAAGGAUGUUUUCAUUAAUCAAGAACGAAAGUUAGGGGAUCGAAGACGAUCAGAUACCGUCGUAGUCUUAACCAUAAACUAUGCCGACAGGGAUCGGAUGAUGUUAUUUUUUAAUGCUCAUUCGGCGCCUACGGGAA